This 147-nucleotide small nuclear RNA is filed under the name Mus caroli (Ryukyu mouse). RNAcentral describes it as "predicted gene, 25627 (MGP_CAROLIEiJ_G0035256.1)". It matches the Rfam family "U1 spliceosomal RNA". From Rfam's summary of the family: U1 is a small nuclear RNA (snRNA) component of the spliceosome (involved in pre-mRNA splicing). Its 5' end forms complementary base pairs with the 5' splice junction, thus defining the 5' donor site of an intron. The record is from RNAcentral. Lineage: Eukaryota; Metazoa; Chordata; Mammalia; Rodentia; Muridae.
AUACUUACUUGGAAGGGAAGAUAGCAAUCAUAAUCAAGACGGUAGUUUUCCCAGGGUGAGGUCUCUCUACUGCAUUUCAGAUAUUCUGACCCUUGUGACUUUCUCAAAUGUGAGAAAGUGCAUAAUAUGUGGGCAAGCUUUCCCCUA